Molecule: small RNA, 118 nt
Filed under: Erwinia mallotivora
Lineage: Bacteria; Pseudomonadati; Pseudomonadota; Gammaproteobacteria; Enterobacterales; Erwiniaceae
Description: STnc490 Hfq binding RNA
Rfam family: STnc490 Hfq binding RNA
Source: Rfam by way of RNAcentral
AACCCCCAGCCAGGCUGGGGGUUCAAUAAAGUUUUCAGCUUUGGGCCAGUUAUAAAAAACCCCUUUUGAUUUGUUAAAACACCUUGCGGUCUGGCAACUGCGAAUGUCAGCUCGUAUG